RNAcentral lists this ribosomal RNA (473 nucleotides) under uncultured Alphaproteobacteria bacterium. RNAcentral's name for it is "bacterial SSU rRNA". It matches the Rfam family "Bacterial small subunit ribosomal RNA", at positions 9 to 524 of the family's 1533-position model. Lineage: Bacteria; Pseudomonadati; Pseudomonadota; Alphaproteobacteria. The record is from RNAcentral.
GAGUUUGAUCGUGGCUCAGGACGAACGCUGGCGGCAGGCCUCAAACAUGCAAGUCUAGGGGGUGUAGCAAUACAUCACCGGCGGACGGGUGCGUAACGCGUGGGAAUAUACCUAUUGGUUCGGAACAACUGCGGGAAACUGCAGCUAAUACCGAAUGUGCCCUAACGGGGAAGAUUUAUCGCCAAUGGAUUAGCCCGCGUAGGAUUAGCUAGUUGGUGGGGUAAUGGCUCACCAAGGCUCCGAUCCUUAGCUGUUCUGAGAGGAAGAUCAGCCACACUGGGACUGAGACACGGCCCAGACUCCUACGGGAGGCAGCAGUUGGGAAUCUUGGACAAUGGGGGAAACCCUGAUCCAGCCAUGCCGCGUGAGUGAUGAAGGCCUUCGGGUUGUAAAACUCUUUCGUACGGGACGGAUAAUGACGGUACCCGUACGAAGAAGACUCCGGCUAACUUCGUGCCAGCAGCCGCCGCAGU